This 7591-nucleotide long non-coding RNA is filed under the name Citrus x clementina. RNAcentral's name for it is "Citrus clementina (C. clementina) long non-coding RNA (CCLE_LNC003527)". The record is from RNAcentral. Lineage: Eukaryota; Viridiplantae; Streptophyta; Magnoliopsida; Sapindales; Rutaceae.
GUCUGUCUAAAUCAAUGGGAUUUUUUCGGUGGGCUUUUUGAUGAAGAAAUUCUUGCGGCUUGCCAUGAGUGUUCAUGCACCGGACAUCUAUUUAUUGACUCUUUUGGGCUCCAAACUCUUGUUAAUCCCAUUGCACAAUAAAGUUAUCACAUAAUAUUAUUGUUGUGUUUUAGACCCAAACUAUCGAGACUAAACCCACCCCAAGAACACUUAACUCACUGAACUUGACCCAAGAACCUACCAAGAUUUAAUCAAUACACUAAGGAUCAAGAAUAAGAAACAGAUCAAGAACAAAACACACACGAAUUAAAGUGGUUCAUCACCAAAUUAAUGAUGCCUACAUCCACUGGAAACAAACACCGUGAUUUCACUUUAUUGCUUUCAAGAGUUACAGAGAGCAUUAACACAAAUGGAGAUUACAACCCUAUUCAGAACUCUCUCUCUCACAUUCCCUUAUCAAUGUCCUCUCUCACUUUCAGUCUGAUGCAAAACCCAGGACUCCAGCCCUUUUAUCAGCUGAUUCUGGAUCUCACUUCCUCAGCGGCUUUUCNNNNNNNNNNNNNNNNNNNNNNNNNNNNNNNNNNNNNNNNNNNNNNNNNNNNNNNNNNNNNNNNNNNNNNNNNNNNNNNNNNNNNNNNNNNNNNNNNNNNCCCACGUGCUUGCAGUGUGUCUCUUAAUAAGCAGGCUUGAAACGGCUUCUUACUUAGUCGUUUUGGGAGACUAAGUAUUUCCUUCAGCUCACGUGCCAGACAUAUGAGCUACUUAUAAUACAGAAUGACAUUUUGGCUCAUGUCGGUUUCGUUCCAAAUUCUUAUUAGAUGACAUGUCGUGCUAACACAGAAUCAACAUAUAACAUGUCGGGACUGAGUAUUCAGUUUACAUUUCACAAUCUCCACCUUGAACUCAAUACUUCAAGUUACUCCACAGUGCUUUCUUCCUCACAAUUUGCAACGUCAGUUCCUGCAAAUCCCUGCUAAGUUCAUGCAUAGAUUGAACUUAGCAUAGGGUACUGACUUGGUUAGUAUGUCAGCUGGAUUCUCCUCUGUAUUUAUCUUUAGAAGUUUUACAGCACCUCUGGAAACUUCAAGCCUCACAAAAUGGAGUUUCACAUCAAUAUGUUUAGUCUUCUCAUGAUGUGUCUGGCUUUUGCUGAGGUGAAUUGCACUCUGACUAUCACAAUAAACCUCAACUGAGUCUUGUUCAUCUCCAAGUUCAGUAGCCAUUCCUUUCAGCCAAAUGGCUUCCUUGAGAGCUUCUGCAGCUGCUGUAUAUUCAGCUUCUGUAGUAGACAAAGCCACUAUAUUCUGUAAUGUAGCUUUCCAGUUGACUGUACAUCCCCCCAAAGUAAACAAAUAUCCUGUCAGUGAUCUUCUCUUAUUGAGAUCCCUAACAAAGUCUGAGUCUACAUAGCCUACCUGGAUAUUUCCUUCAUCUCUAGAUCCACCAUAUAACAAACCAUACUCUGCAGUGCCCCUAAGGUACCUCAUUAUCCAUUUUACUGCCCUCCAGUGGUCAAUCCCUGGGUUUGACAUAAACCUACUCACCACACUUAGGGCAUGUGAAAUGUCUGGUCUGGUUAGCAUCAUUGCGUACAUGAGGUUCCCUACAGCAUUGGAGUAAGGGACUUUUAACAUUUCUUGCUGUUCUACAGCUGUUUGGGGACACAUAGCUGCUGAUAGCUUAAAAUGACUUGCCAAUGGUGUUUGGACAGGUUUGGUUUCAUUCAUACCAAACCUAAUCAGCACUUUCUCAAUGUAAUCCUUUUGAGUCAGAAACAUUGUUCCAACCUUCCUGUUUCUGAUGAUUUCUACCCCAAGAAUCUUCUUUGCAGGUCCAAUGUCCUUCAUUUCAAAUUCACUGCUCAAUAACCCUUUUAACUUAUCAAUCUCUGCUUUUUCAUGACAGGCAAUCAACAUAUCAUCAACAUACAGCAGUAAGUAGAUCCUCCUAGUUUCACUUAUCUCCCUGUAGUACACACAGCAAUCAUAACUGCAUUUGUUGUAGGCAUGCUUCACCAUGAAACUGUCAAACCUUAGGUACCAUUGCCUAGGUGACUGUUUUAAGCCAUAAAAAGACUUCUUAAGCAGACAAACAUGAUCCGUUUUGCCAGGUACUUCAUACCCUUCAGGCCGCUCUAUUACAAUCCCCUCUUGUAAUUCUCCAUGUAGAAAAGCUGUUUUAACAUCCAUCUGUUCAAGAUGCAUGUCUUGCAUAGCCACAAGUGUAAGGAUGACUCUUAUGGAUGCAUGCCUCACCACUGGGGAGAAUACUUCAGUGAAGUCAAUACCCUCCCUUUGUGUGAAGCCUCUUGCCACUAACCUAGCCUUGAACCUCCUAGGUUCUGCUCCAGGUAUCCCUUCCUUGAUUUUAUAUAUCCAUUUGCAGCUUACAAUCUUCUUCUUUUCUGGCUUCUUAAUUAACUUCCAUGUUUCAUUCUUCAUGAGGGAUUCAACUUCCUCAUCCAUUGCUCUUUUCCAUUCCAGCCUAUUCUUGCUUGUGAUUGCUUCUUGACAAGUCUUUGGUUCAUCAUCAUUGAUCUCAUGAGCAGUUGAUAAAGCAUAAGCAAUUAAAUCUGCCACUGCAUGCCUCUUUGGUGGUCUUAUUGUUCUCAUUUUUCUGUCCCUUGCUAGUUGGUAAGUGCUACUACCACUCCUAAUUGAUUCUGACUCUUCUUUAACUUCAGAUCCAUCAUCAACCUCUCCUGAUUCUUUUGUUGUGAAUGUUUCAGUCUUCUCACCUUCAACAGGCUUCACCUCAAACUGAAUUAUCUCAUCUUCAGCUUCUGGCUUCUUUUCUUUAAUCUCAGAACUCCUUCUUUUAUUCAACAUUUCUGCUUCACUGAAGGUUACAUCCCUGCUAAUUAUGCACUUUGGUGGUUUGAAAUCAGUACACCAUUGUUGAGUGUUAGAAAAUGCAUAUUUAUAAAGGAGAAAACCGUCAUUUUACAUUUCAAGUCUUACUAACAACCCUUACUUUUAUGUGUUUAACAUUCUUGUGAUUUAAUUACGUGUGUUUUAUUUUAAUUAAGUAAUUUAUGUAUUUUAGGGGCAUUAUAGUCAUUUCACAAUAAAGGAGAGAUCAGACGGCAAAACGGACAUCACUUUUGAACUCAGGACGGUCGAAAACCUUAGGAGGAGCAUAAAAGGAAAAAUGGCACUAUUCACAUGUACGGUACUAUUCACGUAUACGGUACUGUAUACGUUACUGUUCAUAGCACUGUUCACAUAGACGGAUCGAUGAAGUGGCAUUGAUCGAUGAUGUGGCAUUGACUGAUGAGGUGUCACGAUCCUGUUGGACUAAAAUUCUUAUGUACUGUUGAUGGUGACGUGGCAGCAUAUCAGUGGACGAAAAAUCUCGCGUACGGUGCAUGCAUCACACAUGAUUAUUUUCAACCAAACCGCAUUACUGUUCAUCCGGGUCAAACCGUGUUACUGUUCAUCCGCGUGCUCAAACCGUGGACUGUUGACUGAUGACGUGGCGCAAUCCUGAGCGUCCAAACUGUUUUUAAUCCGAUGGCCAUAAUUUACUCCAUGUAUCUAUAAAAAGGGGGCCUCCCCCCCUAAUUUGAUAUCUCUGAAUCUAUUUUUGGGAUCCAUUUUCUGUAAUUCAUUCUCCAUCUUGUAUUUUCUUCGUAUUUUAAUAAAUUCCCAUUUUGCCCCUAGUUCAAUUAUGAGUGGCUAAUUUUCUUUCAAGCUUGGGUUGAAGGUGAAGUCUCAACAUGUGUCAUGGGCUUAAUUUCGUAAAUUUAUUUUCUCUUCCCCUCUAGUUUUUGUGGAUGUUUUGACUUCUCAUCGACAAAUAAUACUAAUCUUGUCUAGUACCGCCUUGGUUUCACCGACCCUCUAGUACAAGGUUAUUAUUAUUUGGCACGAUAAGCCCUUAGCACCAUAUUGAUUAGAGCGUGGUUCAUGAGGUGUGGAUUCCCCCCUCAUGAUUUAAUUGGCAUUAAUACGGAUUAUUUAGCCCAUGAUGCAUGUUUAUACGGAUCCAGAUACCCAAGUACGUCAUUUCAAUAGAAUUCUCUUCAAUUUAUUCUCGCCAUUUCAAUUCCAAUUUCAGAAUUUAUUCUCGCCAUUUUAAUUUAAGUUUUAGCAUAUUCCAAAUCAUUUCCACCACAAAUCCAAUCACCCAUUCAAAAAAUUAAUUUUAUACACAAUUAAAAUCCACCUCCUCGUGGGAUCGACACUCGUCACCAUUAGUCUAUACUACAAUAGAUUCGUGCGCUUGCGAGUACAUUAAAAUUUGCACAACAACCAUAACUUGUAGCCUUUGACCCCCUCAAGAUAGCCCAGAAAUCUGCACUUCAAAGCUUUUGCUUCCAACUUCCCCUGCUUCACAUGUGCAUAUGCUUCACAACCGAAAAUCCUGAACUUAGAGUAAUCAGCUACCCUUUCUAACCACAAUUCCAUUGGCGUCUUACAUCCUAUAGCUGUUAAUGGACUUCUAUUCACCAAAUAGCAGGCUGUGUUUAAGGCCUCUGCCCAAAGAGCUUUUGGUAACUUUGAGUGGAUCAGCAGACAUCUCACUUUCUCUAUUAAUGUUCUAUUCAUUCUUUCAGCAAAACCAUUUUGUUGAGGAGUGUAUGUUACUGUUUUAUGCCUCAAAACACCAUUCUUUUCACAUUAAUCCUCAAACAACUUGUUACAGUAUUCCAGUCCAUUAUCUGUUCUUAAUACUUUCACCUUCAAAUUAGUUUGGUUUUCAACCAAAACUUUCCAUCUUUUGAACCUUUCAAGGACUUUAUCUUUAGAUUUUAGAGCAUAAACCCACACAAUUCUAGAAAAAUCAUCUAUAAAGGUCAAAAAAAAUUUGCAACCACCUAGAGAGGUUACCUGUGCAGGUCCCCACAGGUCAGAGUGUAUAUAACCUAGCUUUUCUUUGGUAGUGUGAACUGUAGAUUCAAACUUUAUCUUGGAAGCCUUCCUUAGUAUAGUAUACAGUCUUUACAGAAUCCCAAAGAGUUUAGCUGAUCUUUCCCAAACACCUCUUUCUUUUCCAGUUCCUUCAACCCCUUCUCACUUAUAUGUCCUAACCUCAAGUGCCAGAGCUUAGAUUUAUCCUCGCUACUCUCAAUUAUACUUGCCUCCCCAAUGACUGUUUGUCAAUUCAUAACAUACAGGCCAUUGUUUUUGUUACCAUUUAUUAUGACCAUUGAGCCCUUUAUCACUCUCAACACACCUUUCUCAGCCUUCACAAUACAUCUCAUCUGAUCUAACAUCCCCACAGAAAUUAAAUUUCUUUUAAGGUCAGGGACAUUUCUGACUUGUGUGAUUUCCCUCACCACACCAUCAAACAUUUUCAGGCUAACAGUUCCUAUACCAACUACUUUACAUAUGGAAUUAUUCCCCAUUAAUACCAUACCACCAUCACAUGACUGAUAUGAUGUAAAAUAGUUUCUAUUUAGACACAUAUGAAAGGUGCAUCCUGAGUCAAGAACGCAUUCACCUUGAAUCUUUUCUUUGGAAGCUAUGAGUACUUCAGUUGUUUCAUAAUUGGAUUCAUCUGUGGCUAUUGCUGCAUUCCCUACUUUAUCCUUUGAAUAUUUGAUCUUGGACUUCCUCUCAGGGCAAUCACUCUUGAAAUGCCCUUCCUUGUGACAAUGGAAGCAUUUAAGCUGCUUCUGUUUUGACUUAGAUCUUCCUUAUUUCUUUCCUUUGCCUUCCCUCUUCUCAGGUCUACCUCUGGCCAUUAAACCCUCACCAGAUUCACUGUCAGCCUUCUCUUGCUUGUCUUUCAGUUUCUUUGUGCCAAGAGCUAAUUUAACCUCUUCCAAAGAAAGUGUAUGUCUUCCACAUAGUGGAGCAUCAACAAAAUGCUCAUAUAAUUUAGGUAAUGAGCUGAUUAAUAGGAGUGCUUUACUCUCAUCACUCAAACCUUCAUCAAUAGUCUCCAGAGCAUCACAAACCUUGUUGAACUCAUCAAUAUGCUAAUCAAGUGAUGACCCUUCAACCAUCCUUAAUGAGAACAUUUUCUUUUUGAUGUACAACCUAUUUGCAAGAGAUUUUGUCAUAUACAAAUUCUCUAAUUUUGUCCAUAGCCCUGCAACAGUUCUUUCUUUCGCAACCUCCCUUAUCACAGAGUCCCCUAGACUGAGAAUGAUAGUACUCCUAGCAUUCUUAUCAAUCUCAGCAGCUUGUUCAGGAGUUGUAAAAGAAGAGCCCUUCAUUCCCUCUUUCUUAGAGGCUGGUUCAAUGGCAUCUCCCAAACCUUGAGUGAUCAGCAAAGCCUCAAUCUUGAUCUUCCACAUAUUGAAAUCAUUCUACCCAGUAAACUUUUCCAUAUCGAUCUUGGUACCCAUUUCUUGAAUCUAAAGCCAGAGAACAAUAGCUCUGAUACCAAUUUGUUGUAUUUUAGACCAAAACUAUCGAGACUAAACCCACCCCAAGAACACUCAACUCACUGAACUUGACCCAAGAACCUACCAAGAUUCAAUCAAUACACUAAGGAUCAAGAAUAAGAAACAGAUCAAGAACAAAACACACAUGAAUUAAAGUGGUUCAACACCAAAUUAAUGAUGCCUACAUCCACUGGAAACAAACACCGUGAUUUCACUUUAUUGCUUUCAAGAGUUACAGAGAGCAUUAACACAAAUGGAGAUUACAAGCCUAUUCAAAACUCUCUCACUCGCAUUCCCUUAUCAAUGUCCUCUCUCGCUUUCAGUCUGAUGCAAAACCCAGAACUCCAGCCCUUUUAUCAACUGAUUUUGGAUCUCACUUCCUCAGCGGCUUUUCCCGCUAAUGUAACAGAAUUAUCCAACUCAGCCACGUGCUUGCAGCGUGUCUCUAAUAAGCAGGCUUGAAACAGCUUCUUACUUAGUCGUUUUGGGAGACUAAGUAUUUCCUUCAGCUCACGUGCCAGACAUGUGAGCUACUUAUAACACAGAACGACAUUUUGGCUCAUGUCGGUUUCGUUCCAAACUCUUAUCAGACGACAUGUCGUGCUAACACAGAAUCAACAUAUAACAUGUCGGGACUGAGUAUUCAGUUCACAUUUCACAAUUAUGCAUCAUCAAUUACAUUUAACUUAAUAUUAUGCCUCAUCAAUUACCUAAUAAAAAAUGCUCUUGACUUAUUCCACUGCCAAGAAGAUAUAAAAAAUUGUUUUGCACCGUAUCUUCAAAUUCAAAGUAUAUAUUAUUGCUGGAGUUGGUAAAUCUUUAAAUGAGUAAAAUUAUUAAAACAAUAACAGUGAUGAUGAUAAAGAAGAAUGGUAAGCACGAGCCGCUGAAUUCGAGCCAUUUGGAGGGAAAAAUUUUCAGAUAAAGAAGAAUGGUCGACUGGAGUUGGUAAUUCUAAUCGUGUUUCUUUUUCCAAUUGAUUUUUCAACAAUUUUCGGCAUCGUUUUUCAAAAUUAAAAAAAAAAAAAGGAAAAAUCGUGAUUCUCAUGCUUAAGGUUUUGUCUUCCGUUUUAUAAUUUUUUUAGUGUGUCUAAAUCAAUGGGAUUUUUUCGGUGGACUUUUUGAUUAAGAAAUUCUUGCGGCUUGCCACGGGUGUUCAUGCACCGUACAUCUAUUUAUUGACUCUUUUGGGCUCCAAACUCUUGUCAAUCCCAUCGCACAAUAGAGUUAUCGCUUACUGGGGGAAAGAAAAUC